This is a long non-coding RNA of Oncorhynchus kisutch (coho salmon), 1705 nucleotides long. The record is from Ensembl. NCBI's taxonomy places the organism in Eukaryota, Metazoa, Chordata, Actinopteri, Salmoniformes, Salmonidae.
GGCUAUAACACUGUAAUAAGUCAAGGGGUAUGAAUACUUUAUGACUGCACUGCAUAACAUAGGAGUAGUUAGUUAUUUAGCUAAUUAGUUAGUCAUGCAUGUAGUUAACUGUAGUUGUUGGUUUCCUCUUGUUAGAGCCCUGUCAGCUCAGAGGAGGACCUGGAUGUGACAGUGGAGGUGUGUAGGGCUGCUGACAGUAGGACUGUACCAGAGGAGCAGAAGCUGGAGACCAAACACGGGAAGUGUCAGCCUGUACAGGAGUCAGAUGAGAUUGACAUAAACCCCACUGUCAGUCAGCACGCACAAUUUCCAAUGGCCAGUGGUCUACCUGACCUGGCUGAUGUCUCCAGCAUCACGUGCUCACCCGCCCAGCACCAUGAGUGGUUGGGCCAGGAGAGACUGCAACCCAGCCCCCUGAACAGACGGCCUCCGCCCUGCUACAGCACCCCACGCAGCCCAGGUACCAACCAACGCCACCCAGCUACCAGAGUGUUACAUUUAAGCUUCAUUAUACGCAUACAUUUGCCAUCAGCAUUGUUUGCUACAAAGUGCAUCCUACCUGCUACAUGCAGAGGGGAAGAGCGUCUUUAUUCUAUUUUCCCCUACUAUACCGUAUUCAUUGAUUAUGCCUAAGUACAAUAGCUUUGGUCCAGUUUUUCGCAAGUACUCAUUAAAUUGUUGCUAGUGAUUGUACUAAAUGUUCCUCUAAUUACACAAGUUGCUAUUGUUUACAUAGUCAAUGUAGCUAGCUAGAGUUUCGCUAGCGAGUAGCUUUUAAUUCAUAAAUCGUAGUACAAUAUCCAGUGGUGUAUAGUCGAGGCCCUAUGCAACCAAAAUCAACUUUAUUUCAAACAUACAUUACCAGUCAGUUCACACACCUUGCAUUGGUUCCUUGAGUGUGCGUGUUUAACACCAGGAGCAGUACUUUUACAAGUUGAAUUGCAGCAAAAUGUCACUGGUAUACUUGUUUUGGGGUGGUGCAGCGACUGCGCCCAACUACAGAGCCAUGGGGGUCACUGGGGAGCCCAUCCCCCCUCUGCCCAGCCUGCUGGACACCUCCACCUGGGGCAGCACCCGCUCCCUGCCCCCCCACACCGAGAGCUUCGCCAUUGCCAGCCUGGGAGCCAGCACGACAGACCUCUCCAGACAGACCUCACCCUUGAUGAGAGACUCCUCCCUCGAGGAGACUGGGACGCACGUGGGCGUGUCAGAGUUCACCACAGCCAGCUCCGGAGAGAGACGGACCACAGUGACCAGCCAGGAGGGCGUGGGCUCUACCUACACCGUACCCACCACCAGCCAAGAAAGGGAGGAGGUGGAAGAGAGAGAGAGUUUAGAGAAGAAGAACAUGGAGUAUCUCGAAGGGGAGAGAGGGAUGUCGCUGGCUGCUGACAGGAAAGAAGAGUUGGAAAGGUCCGAUCAGGGUAGCUGUGCUGGUGUGGAUGUCGACCUGAUUGAUGAAGAUCCUCUGGAUGCUAGCUCCUCUGUUUUAGAGGGAGAAGAUGAACUUGUGUCAGAUGAGGAAGAGUUGCCUGGCGAAGAGGAGACAGACCAUGAGGAUGAAGAUGUGAUUAAUGAUCAAGUGCUAACUGACGAAGAGGUCUCUGUGGCCAGUACACAGCAGGCAGAGACAUCAGGAGCUCACCAUGGCAGCACACACAGUGAAGGUACUACACUGCAUUACAUCAGCAUUAUAAGAAAAUAA